GUAGGGAAUAUUGGACAAUGGGGGGAACCCUGAUCCAGCCAUGCCGCGUGGAGGAAGACUGCCCUCUGGGUUGUAAACUCCUUUUAUAUGGGAAGAACCGUCCUCAUUAAUGAGUGACCUGACGGUACCAUAGGAAUAAGCACCGGCUAACUCCGUGCCAGCAGCCGCGGUAAUACGGAGGGUGCAAGAGUUAUCCGGAUUCACUGGGUUUAAAGGGGGCGUAGGCGGAUAAAUAAGUCAGUGGUGAAAUCAACGGGCUCAACCUGUUAACUGCCAUUGAUACUGUGUAUCUUGAAUAUGAGAGAGGUAGGCGGAAUGUUGCAUGUAGCGGUGAAAUGCUUAGAUAUGCUACGGAACACCGAUUGCGAAGGCAGCUUACUAUUUCGUAAUUGACGCUGAGGCACGAAAGCGUGGGUAGCGAACAGGAUUAGAAACCCCGGUAGUCC
RNAcentral lists this ribosomal RNA (446 nucleotides) under uncultured bacterium. RNAcentral's name for it is "partial 16S ribosomal RNA". It matches the Rfam family "Bacterial small subunit ribosomal RNA", at positions 354 to 796 of the family's 1533-position model. The record is from RNAcentral.